GUGCUCGCUUCGGCAGCACAUAUACUAAAAUUGGAACGAAACAGAGAAGAUUAGCAUGGCCCCUGAGCAAGGAUGACACGAGAUUAAAACAGCUUAAUAUUUACUUU
This is a small nuclear RNA of Leopardus geoffroyi (Geoffroy's cat), 107 nucleotides long. NCBI's taxonomy places the organism in Eukaryota, Metazoa, Chordata, Mammalia, Carnivora, Felidae. The record is from RefSeq and is a predicted model, not a curated record.